AUACCUUUCUCGGCCUUUUGGCUAAGAUCAAGUGUAGUAUCUGUUCUUAUCAGUUUAAUAUCUGAUAUGUGACCCCAAUGGGUCACACGAUAUUAAAUUACUUUUUUAAGGGGGAGAGACUAUUAUAGUAGCUUGCUACUAGGUCUUUCAUGUGUCGUUUAUGCGUUGCACUAUUGCAUUGGCUGGCGCAUCCCAC
Medicago truncatula (barrel medic) is the source of this 196-nucleotide small nuclear RNA. It matches the Rfam family "U2 spliceosomal RNA". Rfam says of the family: U2 is a small nuclear RNA (snRNA) component of the spliceosome (involved in pre-mRNA splicing). Complementary binding between U2 snRNA (in an area lying towards the 5' end but 3' to hairpin I) and the branchpoint sequence (BPS) of the intron results the bulging out of an unpaired adenosine, on the BPS, which initiates a nucleophilic attack at the intronic 5' splice site, thus starting the first of two transesterification reactions that mediate splicing. NCBI's taxonomy places the organism in Eukaryota, Viridiplantae, Streptophyta, Magnoliopsida, Fabales, Fabaceae. The record is from Rfam.